AGAGGAAGUGUGGGCAGCUGAGCUGGGUUAUCCAGACCAGUGCAGCUCAUCUAGGAUUGACUCUGAUGAGUCUCCAGAGACCUGGAAUCUGAUGGAUCUACUGAUGUAUCCCAGUAGGCAGAGGUUGCAGACAGCCAAGAUGUUCAGUCCUUAGCAAGACAACAGAACUGCGGAUGGAGGGUGAUGUUAUUUGCAUAUCUGCUGCUGCUGCUGCUGCUAAGUCACUUCAGUCAUGCCCAACUCUGUGCUACCCCAUAGACGGCAGCCCACCAGGCUCCCCCACCCCUGGGAUUCUCCAGGUGAGGAUGCGUGAGGCUCCGUGUUCCCCGGCAGACUGGAGGGCGCCAGCCUUGCCCACCCACCAGCAGCAGCAGAACAACGCACAGGGCCUUUGGAAGGCGGCUUUUCAGCUCCACGCAUAUUUCAGAGCUGCUCUUGAGGCAGGAAUCGGAGUUCUUGUCCACAGAGUGGAAGAAUGGAAUCCGCAAACACACAGACACUCACGGUGGCAAGCGAACAGGAUUUAUUAAAGAGGAGGAAAGUAUAAACCUCCCAGCACAGACACGGAGAGGGGGUGAAGAGUCCCCCACAAGGCAGAUUCUUAACGACUGGACCAAGGGGAAGUCUUGUGGAUAGGCAUUUUA
This is a long non-coding RNA of Bos taurus (domestic cattle), 644 nucleotides long. Lineage: Eukaryota; Metazoa; Chordata; Mammalia; Artiodactyla; Bovidae. The record is from Ensembl.